GUCUCAAACACAAAAAUCACUUACAAGCAGAAUUGUGACAUUACGCUAGUACUAUCUGAACAAAAUCUUGCAUACACCACUAUGCAUCAGAGUGCACCAAUGUUAGUCAGACCUGAUAAACAAUGGAAAGUGUGUCAAUAAAGUCGAUAUAUUGAAUAAAAUAUGAAAAAUGUUAUUGACAUAAAUUAUAAUAAAAAUGCUUAAAUAGAGUUAUAUGGGUGUGAUUAUCUCUCUAGUCUCCCCCUAAAAGGCAAUCUCUUGGACAAAGCUCUCCCACCUCAAUUGAUUCCAAAAGCCAAAGGCCCCAGGACCCACUUGUUCAACCUCCCUGUUGCUUGACUCCACCAGAAUCAUCAGCCACCACAAGAUAAUGAAACAACUUUUCCUACCCAUUAACUUGUCUCCACGUGUCACCUGUGGAUUCUCUCCCCACUUGGUAGUUGCCUAGUUGUCAUUUUCCGUCCUUUGCCCCUUCACAUUUCACAGUGCCCCAUAAGUCUCCAGCAUUCUUGCUCAACUUCACUACUCCAACUACAAGUUUUACAACACAAAAUAGAGAGCAAGAAAGAAAAGAAAAGAAAAGAGAAACCAAAAUUAGUCAGUCCAAUGUUGAAAAAAGAGAAGAGUGGGGGGUUUGAUGGAAGUAGCAACAAUUGGGCAAGGGUGUGUGACAGUUGCCAUUCCGCAACAUGUACCGUUUACUGUCGGGCGGAUUCCGCCUAUUUGUGUGCGGAUUGUGAUGCCCGCAUACAUGCAGCAAGUCUCAUGGCUUCUCGCCACGAGCGUGUAUGGGUUUGCGAAGCCUGCGAGCGUGCCCCUGCAGCCUUUCUUUGCAAAGCGGAUGCUGCCUCACUUUGUGCCUCUUGCGAUGUUGACAUCCAUUCUGCAAACCCCUUGGCACGUCGUCACCACCGUGUCCCAAUUAUGCCCAUUCCAGGUAGCCACCAUUUCUUUUUUCACACACAACAUAUAUACUCCUACAUGUUAAAAAUUUCAAUAAAUAUGACUUCUAAACCAUAAUUUCAAAAAUGUAAAAAUUGAAUCCAUCAAACUUAAAUUCUAAAUUAGUCUCUGAUUCAAAUAUCCAGGAACCCUCUAUGGUCCUCCAGCUGUUCACACCGUUAGCGGUGGUUCUAUGAUGAUCGGUGGGACCACAGGGGAAGGCACGGAGGAUGAUGGAUUCUUGAGUUUGACUCAAGAUGCAGAUGAUACAACCAUAGAUGAAGAAGAUGAAAAUGAAGCAGCUUCAUGGUUGUUGUUGAAUCCUCCUGUUAAGAAUAACAAUAAGAACAACAUUAACAAUAACAACAACAAUCAAAAUAACAACUAUGGGAUGUUGUUUGGUGGGGAAGUAGUGGAUGAAUACUUGGAUCUUGCAGAGUAUGGAGGGGAUAGUCAAUUUAACGAUCAGUACAGUGUUAAUCAGCAGCAACAACAUUACUCUGUUCCUCAGAAGAGCUAUGUUGAAGAUAGUGUUGUGCCAGUUCAGAACGGACAGCGAAAAUCUCUGAUUCUUUACCACCAACCGCAACAACAACAACAGCAACAACAACAAAGUCACCACCUGAAUUUUCAGCUUGGAAUGGAGUAUGACAAUUCUAACACUGGAUAUGGUUACCCUGCUUCUUUGAGUCACAGUGUAAGUUUUCUUCACUUUAUCGAUAUACCUCACUUUGUGAGUUGUCUUACGAAGCUACUACUCUGUGCAACAUCAGUUCUUUUAACACUUCUUUUUAGCUUCUGAAUUACUUUUUCCAGCACUUCGUCCUUUUUCAACAGAGGAUUUGUCAUUUUAGGUUCCCAUUUGCUAUUAUGGUUACCUUUACAUACCCCUAAACUGACCCUUGAACUUUUGUCGUAUUAAAUUUUACCUAAGAUUAUGCUCUUUCCCAAAUAAACAAAGAUGUUUAGAUUCUUCUUCACCUUCCUUGACAUUGAAAUAACGUGUAAUUAGUAACUCUUAACAAUUAUCCUUUAUAUUCAAGUUAUAAAUAGUAAUUCACUAUAAUGUUUAAACUGCUCCAAUUCACGUAUGUUACUGUUUAACCGUGUUCUCGAGAUUCUUUGAUAAAACUUAUCCUCAAGGGUGGAAAUUCUAAGAAUCUUUACCUUUUCAGCUUCUCCAUUGGGUUUCUUUUGACACUUGAUUUAACACAAGGUUACCAUGUUUAUGUUAAUAAUCAGCGACAUGCUACACAGAUGUUGCUGUUGCUUUAUGUGCAGAUCCUUAGGAUAAAUCUUGUAGUCUAGCUAGUCUGUUUUCUUGAAUGGACCAUGGAAUUUUUAUGGAUCUAACUUAUAUAUACUAAUAUUAUAAAAGUAAUUACACUUGAAUGUAUUUUAACAUGUUUUUUCACGUAGCUAAUUUCACUUUCUAUGGACAGUCAACUAUAAUUAUCUUUUUAAGUGAUACAUGAAUAGGGAAGUUGACCACUCAUGUUUUUGUUGUCUUUAUGUAUCAUCAGGUUUCCAUUUCGUCGAUGGAUGUCAGUGUUGUUCCAGAAUCUGCACUAAGUGAAACUUCAAACUCCCAUCCACGACCUCCAAAAGGGACCAUCGAUCUGUUCUCAGGCCCUCCAAUUCAGAUACCUCCCCAGCUUACUCCAAUGGACAGAGAAGCCAGAGUCCUAAGGUACAGAGAGAAGAAGAAGAACCGUAAAUUUGAGAAAACCAUAAGGUAUGCUUCAAGAAAAGCCUAUGCAGAAACAAGGCCAAGAAUCAAAGGCCGAUUUGCAAAGAGAACGGACGUAAAGGCUGAAGUAGACCAGAUGUUCUCCACACAAUUAAUGACAGACAGCAGUUAUGGAAUUGUCCCUUCAUUCUGAAUGCAACAAAGAGAAGAUCAACUGCAAGCCCCUAAACCUAGAAUUAAUAUUGUAUCUCUUACGUCAUUAUCGAUCUAAGGCUAUUGGAUAAUGAGAAAUGUACUACAGCAGUUUUCCACAGAGGAUUUGUUAAAUUCUCUGCUUUGUUGUAUAUGUAAAAAGAGUUCUUCCUUGUAGACCACGCUGCAGUCAAUACGUACAAUUUUUCUCAGGAAGAAGUAAAGAAACAGAUCCUCCAGUGUGAAGGGAUUGACCCAACAAGACAAAAAGUACUAGUUCCGCGAGAAGCAAAGAGUUGACUGCAGUAACAAGGAGUGUGGUGGGAUGGAUGAGACAUCAACAACCUUAACCAGAAGUCUCAGGUUAAUGGAAAAACUUUUAGUAAGAAAUGCUUACCUCCUUAGUGGACCUACCUGACACAUAGAUAGAUACUGGAUGCCUAAAGGGAAAAAGAAAAAAGAAAAGAAGAAUUGACUGCAUAUAACUUUUCCACAUUAAAAGAACUCAGUGCAGCCACAAGUAAUGGGAAAAGCAAAAUUACCGACGACCUCUCGAUGCUCAGUGGCUGUAUAUGACAUUGUGUGCUGGUGCAAUAUAAUUGAAGCUGAGUUCUGCUGUCUGCUGUCUGCUUUCUGCUUUCCCUUGUGGUCAUCUUUUUGUUGGAACAUACUCUUUUUGGAUGACAUAUAAUGUUCAUCAAUACCUGCUUUUGGUCCAGGGCCUCUUCCCAGAUUCUCCUUCAAUACAAUGAAUAUCCCAUCACUGAAGAUAAAGAAUAAAAGGUCCACUUCUCCAAGGAUAGGAAAGCACAAUAUUUUUGCCGAAAAUGGUACUGCAUAAGCGUAAGCAAAAUACUGCUAUGAUCAUCAAACUUUUAGUUGUAAUGACAGAAUCAAGGUACACGAUAUCCCUAAAAUAGCUAACAUACAGCUUCUAAUUUGUAAUCAGCAAGGAUAUAGGUAAUUUGCUCAAGAAAAAGAAGCACUUUAGUGGGUGGUGAAAGGAAAACUAAAGGCGAUAGAAGCAAGGGGACUGGGGAACGACAUCUGUUAAGCUAAUGAAAAAUCUCUAAGACCAAUCAUCUGUAUUUACCCUUGCUCAAGUCAAUCAACUACUAAAGUGUUCCUCCUAUCUUGGAAUCUAAAGAGUUCUCACUUCUACAGUUCUAUGUAUCAUCUAUUUCAUUAACUGUUUAUAUAUUAUCAACUAAAAGCACUUGGCAGUAAGAAAAUUACUUGACUCAACAAACUGGUGUUGUCAAAAGCAAAAGGUAAGAAGAGCAACCAGGGUAUGGUCGGGUUUUAAGUGCAAAGUGCGAUUAAAAAGCACACGUUAAUGAAGGAGACGAAGAUGAAGAAGUAAAUGUAAAAAUAAACACAAACAAGCAUUUAUAUGGACCAAGGAAUUGAGAAUAAAAUUGCAAACAUAAUAAAAACAUGUCAAUAAAGUUCAAUCUCAUUGCCCCCAAGGCCUAGCUCAAGUGGCAAAAGGUGGAGGAUUUGUGGCUUAAGUCGCAGGUUCAAGCCCCACACCAUGCAAAGUGAAGCCCGGUAUUUAAGUGGAGAAGGGUAGAGGGGCGGGCCCAUUAUCCACUGAGUUUAGAAGGCUGUGAUUGGUCCAAAGGGCGGGUCACAGACGGAUUUCUCGGUUAUCAAAAAAAAAAAAAAAAAAAAAGUUCAAUCUCAUUUUUUUAUUCCGUUGCAAAGAUGCAAAUUUAAGUUUCUAAUUCAAUUUUAUUGACUAAUUUGCUUUGAUAAAGUAUUCUAUUGACCUAUUUUGAAUCACUAACAUUUUUCCUUAAUGUUUUCUUAACAAGUGAUGUAUCACUUCGCUUUGUAAUUAUUUUUUAGCUUGCCCACUUCAAAAUCAUUAUAAAUUACUUAAACUUAUUAAGAAGCAAUAAGUUGGCUGUCUUUCUAAGGCACAGACCUCACAGUGCCUAAGCAACGCAGAACACCAAGUUUGCGAUGCAUCUAGCUUCAAGGUUUAUGCAUUCCUCAUGCGCACUUCUAACAAAUUGCCUCAUAAUCCAACUUCAAAAGGAAAGAGGUGUGCUUAGAAUAGAAUCUUCUCCAUCUACAUCAAGCAUACAUGACUUAUUAGGCUCAGUUAUUUCUGAACUACUCUACUUACUACCAAAACAGUUUACCACUAAGAAGGAGGUAUUCCAUGGCCUCAAAAGUAUCAGUAAUCAAAAGACAAUGUCCUUUUAUCAGUCUUAAGCUGAAGGAAAGCAUAUUGCACUUUAGCCUUUUUUUUAUGUGAAGUAGUCACUGAAAAAGUAACAAGGCAAGUUCCAGCUUAUCUAGGAAUAAGGUGAAAGUGUAAGGAGGUAAGAACUUUGUGGCUAAGAAAUUUCAUCCAAGAAUGGCUUGGACGUUCACUUUUAGGUCUUUUUUGAUCAUUGGGUACUUUUAGUAUCCAAUUCUGCACUGCUAUUCGUUGAACAGAAGAACCUUUAUCCACCUCACAACUCACUAGCAUAGAAAAAGAAUACCCAUUAAUGUGUCACGACCAAUAUUAUUUUGCUCAGUUAUUUCUGCACUACUCUAUUUACUACCAAAACAGUUUACCACUAAGAACUACUAUCAAUAAAGAUAGUUGCUGCUCUCUUCAUACUUGUUUGCAGGUUAAGUUGCUCAUCUAUCUUUAGCAAUGCAUGUGAUCCAAUUCAUUGGAUUUCAAGUCACAGUAAACUGUGAAGCAUACUACUAGGAGGUAUUCAUGGCCUCAAGCCCUCAACAGAAAUUAGUAAUCAAAAUAUGCAACUGAUUGAACAAGACGCAUAAGGAAAGCAUAUUAAACCUUUGUGAAGUAGUCAUUGAAAAAGUAACAAGGCAAGUUUCAGCUUAUCGAGGAAUAAGAUGAAAGUGUAAGGAAGUAGGAACUUUGUGGCUAAGAAAUUUCAUACUAAAAUGGCUUGGACAUUCACUUUUAGGUCCUUUUUGAUCAUUGGGUACUUUUAGUAUCCAAUUCUGCACUGCUAUUCGUUGAAGAGAAGAACCUUUAACCACCUUACAACUCACUAGCAAAGAGAAAGAAUACUCAUCAAUGUGUCACGGCCAAUAUUAUUCCCACCCAGAAUAAACGGGCAAACAACUCAGAUUGUUUGAGUUAUUCCUGAGCCGUUCAAGUUGGAUCAGGUCCCUCUGAUUCCAUGGGUACUUUAGCUAUCUAUUUAUGCCAUGCCAUUUGCUGAACACCAGCACUUUUUCCGCAGCUCAUAAGAGCCAAGCAAUCCAUCAUGGAGCAAUUCUAGUGAUUCCAAUGCAAUAAAAUUAUUAAAACAACAAAACAACCUUUAAUGAUUUUUCUAAUUCAAUGUGAAAAUAUCAAACUGCAUUGCUGGUUGACUCCACAACAAAAUCCAGAUAUAGUAAUCUUAUUUCUUGUCUGUGAAUAACUAAUUUCGUGCAAAUUUGCUGCUCGAGAUUAUAUCGUACACACACACACAAGGUGGUGUCCAAAAUGCUCAACUCAGUGGCGAAGCCAGGAUUUUCAUAAAUCCUUAAGAGGGUUAAAAAAUAUGACGAAAUAAAUACACAAGGAAGUCAAGAGAAUUCAACAUCCACUAUAUAUACUUAAAAAUAAUUUUAACCGUGUACAUACAAAGUAAUUUUCCAAUGAAAGGGAUUCGAACCCCCUUGCCCUUUCCUGGCUCGACUCCUCGCUACCUCCCACCAGCACGGUUUUCAAAUUAUUCAGCACACCAAGAUUUAGGCAAAUCGGAAAAAUCUGUGUAAUGUCGUCUCUGCUGGAAUUUGAACCUUGGUUUCCAAGGUUUUUAUCCCAACUCCUCAACGUCAAGGAAGAGAACAAAACCAUAUUACCUAAAGAUAAUUUUAUUGGUCGUUUUACAUAUUAUGUGAAGGUGUGAACCAAGGAAACCCACACAUAAGGCUUCCUCAUUUUAGAUUGUAUCAGUUGAGGGUCAAAGUUUGCACCUGGAGGAUAAUCCUAACAAAUAUUCUAUAGAUAUGGUUUAAAAGAGAAUGUAGCACUUUACUUUAUUCUUUUUUUUUAUGACAAGGGAAACCCGCAGCCUCUACCCUUUGGGUGAGCACAGGGUAAAACCCCCGCUCCUCUGCAAUAGCUCGCAAACCACAUAGGAGAGGUAACCCACACUAGGCAAGCCCGGUGCGACGAGCUCGACCCAGAAGGCAAACCCCUUGCUUUUGCUGGCAAGGGGUUUCGAACUUGAGACCUCCAACAUGGAAGUCCCAAGCCCAAACCACUGGGCCAUCCCUAAGGGUUCACUUUACUUUAUUCUUUUGUGGAUCAAGAAUCUUAAGAAAAAGUGAAAAGAGCAUAUUCCAUCUCACAAGAACAUUGAAGUUAUCCUGGACCUGUUGUGUUCCACAGAAGUAACCAGAGAAAGGCUAAAAUUUCAAGUUUGAGAUCCCUCCUAUUCCAUGGGUACUUUAUGUAUCUAUUUCUGCUCUGCCAUUUGCUGAGUCACAGCACUUUUUCUACAGCUCAUAAAUGUCAAGCAAUCCACUUGUGAUUCCUAUGCUUAGAAAAUUACUAGUUUUUGGAGGUAGAGUCCUGAGAAAAAGUGAAAAGAGUAGGUUCCACUUAAGUCACCUGAGCAUAGCUAAGCCUUUUAAGCUUUGAGGUCCCUAAGAUUACAAGGGAACUUUAGCUAUCUAUUUCUGCUCUGCCAUUUGCUGAGCCGCAGGUCUUUUUUCCCACAACUCAUAAAUGCUAAGCAAUCCACCAUGGAGCAAUUCUUGUGAUAGCUAUGCUUAAAAAAUUAUUAAACAAAACAAAACAAUUUCCAGUGAUUUUCUAAUUAAUGCGAAAAUAUCGAACUUCAUUUCUGGUUGAUUACACAACAAUGUCCAGAUACAACAAUCUUAUUAUUGUGAGUGAACAACUAAUUUCGAGCAAGUUCGCUGGUCGAGAUUGUGCCUUACAGAAACACAUAGUGAGGCCAGGCUAUGCAGCUUGAUUAAGUCACAAGGUACCUACUACCUCCAACCGGCUCUACAAGUAUCGAAUAAUUAUGUCCACCAAAAUUUAGGCAAAUGCGAAAAAUUCUAGUAGCGUCACCUCUGUUGGGAUUUGUACCUUGGUACCCAAGGCUAUUAUUCCAAGUCCUCAACUGCUAGGGGACACAGGCAAAUCAUAUUGACUAAAGAUAAUUUUACUAGCUGUUAUUUUUCAUAAUGUGCGAACGAAAGAAGCACACACACAGACGUAGGCAAGAUUUCAACAAAAAUGUUUCAUCUUAGAUUGUAUCAGUUGACUGUCAAAGAAUGCAUACAGAGGCUAAUCCAGGCUAAUAUUUUAAAGCAUAUAAUUAAAAGACAAUGUAGAGCUUCUUUCUUUUAACUUUUGUGGAUGAAGAGUCCUACCAUAAAGGUGAAAAGAGUAGAUUCUAUCUCAGUGAGAACAUUGAAGUUGUUCCACAGAAGUCAUUAGAGCCUGGCUAAGCCUUUCAAGUUUGAGGUCCCUCUUGAUCCAUGACACUUUAGUACCUAUUUCUUCUCUUCCAUUCGCUGAAAACCUGAAACUCUGCACUUUUUACAAAGCUCAUAAAUUUCUUAGUUUUUUGUGGGUGUGAGGCCCUUUCAAAUCCUUAGGACUUUUAUUUAUCUAUUUCCGCACUGUCAUUUGCCAAACAUCAUUACUUUUUUGAUCUGGUUGACAGCCACAACAAAGAUUCUUUCGUGCCAUAUCAUCAAAUUUUAUCCAGUAAUAGCAUUAAGAGGUAAAAUUGUCUAAGCAUUUCAAAUUUGUGUAUUUAGUGGGGAAAAAACUGAAAAAUGCGUUUGUCCUCUUUUUUAUAUACCAAGAUGCAUUUGUAUGUAGUGUAAUCCCUUUGUAUAUACCAAACAAAGAUUCUUUCAUGCCAUACCAAGAUGCUCUACCUUAGAGGCAAUUGUCCCUUUAUAGAUAUAAAAAAAUAAUGAGAACAAACCUAGUUUAAUCCCACAAGUGGGGUCUGGAGGGGGACAGAUGUAUGCAGAAAUACCUUUGUGGGAUAGAGAGAUUGUUUCUAACAGACCUCGGCUAAAAAAGUGAAGUUAUUCGGAAAAGGAUUGCAGGAAGAAAAAGAAAUGACAGCAAAAUAUCAAGCUACAUGCAAAAUAGAACAACAGAUAGCAAAAACAUUGACAAAAAAAAAACUGUGAUAACUAAAUUAAUACUAAUAAAUAGGGACAAGGGGAUAUGAGGUUAGCCCCCUGCCACUCCCAACUAAUGAGCGACCACAUUCAGCUACCUACUAACCUUCUACCCUAAUCCUCGAUUGCCAUACCCUCUUAUCUAGGGACAUGUCCUCAAUAAGCUGAAGUUGUGUCAUGUCUUGUCUUGUCUAAUCAACUCCCCCAUUUCGUUUUUGGUCACCACUACCUCUCCUAACUCCUGUUACAACCAACCUCCUAACUAGCGUAUCUGCACACCUCCUAACUAAUCCACAUUCAGCUACCUACUAACCUUCUACCCUAAUCCUCGAUCGCCAUGCCCUCUUAUCUAGGGACAUGUCCUCAAUAAGCUGAAGUUGUGUCAUGUCUUGUCUUGUCUAAUCAACUCCCCCCAUUUCGUUUUUGGUCACCACUACCUCUCCUAAAUCCUGUUACAACCAACCUCCUAACUAGCGUAUCUGCACACCUCCUCUUCACAUGCCCAUGCCCGAACCAUCUCAGUCUCACUUCUCUCAUCUUGUCCGUCAUGAAUGUCAUUCCCACCUUGCCCCAUAUAGCUUUGUUCCUGAUCAUGUUUCUCCCUUUAUAUAUACCAUUUCUAAAAAUAUGUGUACCUAUAUGAAGCUUGUAUUCUUUAUCAGAAAAAGACAUAUUUGGAAAAAGAAAUAAAUCCUUAAACCAUCACGUCUCAAAUUCAAACAGACUUAUAAGUUGAACCAUAACAAACCGUAACAAUAGAUGUUAGUAUCAUAUGUUCACCACAAUAAAGCAGAAUAUACGAAAUAAUCAGGAAAGAAAAAUUUAACGAAAAAUACAGAACUGUGAAUUAAUUAUCCGAGCCCACAGAAUUCGCUAUGUGUCCUUAAUAAGCCCUAGCCCCAUAUAAGAGAUCUAAAAAGGUCAUUUACUUCUUUUCAAUUUGUACGUGGUCAUAAGAGACCACUUCCUCUCUAUCAUUAGAUAAAAGAUACAUGUCAAUAUUCAGACACCAAAUCAGUUGCCCAACAUACAUUAUUUCAAAUUUGAAAAAAGAACUUUCAUCGUGUCUGUUGCAGCACCAAUUAUUUUCUUUUGAUGUGGUGCUGAGUUUCUUUUCCUAAUGUUAGUAGAGCAUCAAAGUCUCAAGUCUUUCAAAUGAGGUUUUCUAUGACAAAGUUCCUCUAUAUUUUCUCUAACUGCUAUUUUCUUCUCCUUCCUACACUACUAUUUUGAAAUCAUAGAAAGGGAAAACGUCAAUACUAUAGAUGCUUAUCAAAGUACUGAACUCUGAAGGGAUCUUCCAAACAGUAUAAAUUCAACAUGUGAAGUAAGCCUACGUAUGCCAAACUCAGCAAUUCUUACGAUGAAACAAAAAUAAUCUUGCUCUCCAAGAACAAGACUUCCUAAUUCUUCCACUCCACUACUAUAUAUGACCUUUAAAGCAUUCUUCCCGUUUAACCUGCUUAGGCAUAUGUUUUGAUCAUUUGGAUUCUAUUAUGAGAUUCAACGAGAAUCACAUCACGAGAGUAUUCUAAAAACCGAAAUUACAAAAUCAAUGUUUUCAAUACCAUACCAUUCAGGUCCGUACCAUGCCCACCCCUAACGGUGAAAAUCUAAUAAACUAUGGGAAGUGUAUCGGUAUAGUCCACCCCUUAAAGGCAAUCUCUUGAACAAAGCUCUCCCACCUCAAUUGAUUCCAAAAGCCCAAGGCCCCUGGACCCACUUGUUUCAACCUCCUUGUGGCUUGACCCCACCUUCCGGCCCCACCAGAAUCACCAGCCACCACAAGAUAAUGAAAAAACUUUUCCUACCCAUUAACUUCCCUCCACAUGUUUCCCUUGGAUUCUCUCCCCACUUGAUAGUUGCCUACUGUUAUUUUCCCUCCUUUCCCCCUUCAUAUUCCACAGUGCCCCAUAAGUCUGCAGCAUACCUGCUAAACUUCAGUAUUCGAAGUACAACAGAAAAUAGAGAGCAAGAAGAAAAAAUAGGCCAAAAAUAGUUCAAUGUUGAAAAAGGAGAACAGUGGGGGUUUUGAUGGCAGCAGCAAUUACUGGGCAAGAGUGUGUGACAGUUGCCGUUUAGUUACCUGUACCAUUUACUGCCAGGCGGAUUCUGCCUAUUUGUGUGCAGGCUGUGACGCCCGCAUACAUGCAGCAAGUCUGGUGGCUUCUCGUCACAAGCGUGUGUGGGUUUGUGAGGCCUGCGAGUGUGCCCCUGCAGCCUUUCUUUGCAAGGCGGAUGCUGCCUCACUUU
Molecule: long non-coding RNA, 11206 nt
Filed under: Solanum tuberosum (potato)
Lineage: Eukaryota; Viridiplantae; Streptophyta; Magnoliopsida; Solanales; Solanaceae
Description: long non-coding RNA (STUB_LNC003247)
Source: RNAcentral